This 447-nucleotide ribosomal RNA is filed under the name uncultured organism. Its description in RNAcentral is "partial 16S ribosomal RNA". It matches the Rfam family "Bacterial small subunit ribosomal RNA", at positions 332 to 796 of the family's 1533-position model. The record is from RNAcentral.
UACACUCCUACGGGAGGCAGCAGUGGGGAAUAUUGGACAAUGGGCGCAAGCCUGAUCCAGCCAUGCCGCGUGAGUGAUGAAGGCCCUAGGGUUGUAAAGCUCUUUCACCGGUGAAGAUAAUGACGGUAACCGGAGAAGAAGCCCCGGCUAACUUCGUGCCAGCAGCCGCGGUAAUACGAAGGGGGCUAGCGUUGUUCGGAUUUACUGGGCGUAAAGCGCACGUAGGCGGACUAUUAAGUCAGGGGUGAAAUCCCGGGGCUCAACCCCGGAACUGCCUUUGAUACUGGUAGUCUUGAGUUCGAGAGAGGUGAGUGGAAUUCCGAGUGUAGAGGUGAAAUUCGUAGAUAUUCGGAGGAACACCAGUGGCGAAGGCGGCUCACUGGCUCGAUACUGACGCUGAGGUGCGAAAGCGUGGGGAGCAAACAGGAUUAGAAACCCUUGUAGUCC